GAUGUUUUAUGGGUCAGGAUAGAAACAAUUCAAUUUUGAGUGGAUCCAGACCAGCCGGACCAGUAGGUCCAGGAUAUUUUUUUUACACUUCCUUUAAAACUGUUUCUAUUGCAACAGUGGCUCAUUGUUGUGUUAGAUCUUUAGCUGAUGAACCGAGCAGCUACGUGUUCCUGGGACCGUUAAGACUGUGCCACGCUGGCAGAGCGAGCGAGGCGAAUACGGUCGACUCCAACUUACACAGCAGAGUGUUUCCCUCCACUUACUGAGGAAUUGAAAACUGCAAGUGAUCACUGUCUGAGAAAAUGAACAAAAUCAGCCUCUUUGCAGACAUCGGCUCCGUCCGUCUCAAGAGCUUAACAACUAGGACAUGGUGCUACCGCUGGAGGAAGGUUCAUCUUCUUACAGGAUGGUGAGGAGGAAGGCAGUUGAAUUCAAAUGUGGCAGAAAGAACCUGGUAGAUGACCCCUAUCCUGGAGAGUUGGUCACCAUCACUGCUCCAAUAACGCUGGACGGAAAACUGACUCCUUCUAUCUCACGCCAUGAACUUAUUGUAUUAUUUAUAAUUGACUAACUGCAGGUUAAAGAUAAAGACAGGUUCUCAUUUACCUUGAGCAGGAGCUCCACCACUUCGGUGUGGACCAGACCGUGGACUGGUUCUCCGUUGACAUGAGUAAUGAGGUCUCCAGCUUUAAGUCCUGCUUUAUGUGCAGGUCCAGCGUCCUCGACAUUCUGAUCGACAGAGACAAGAGACAUUUAUUAGGACGGGUUUGUCCCUUUAGUUUCGUUUAGAAGAUGGAAAACAAGAUAUACAGUUAAGUUCAGCUCUGAUCUGUUUCAUAUUCCCGCCGACACAUUACAAACAAACCGAGUUAAGGAAACAUCAAACCAUAUAGACUUACAAGUGAUUCACAGAGUUCUGUUGACUGACAAAUUUAAUUGUUGGUGUCUCGCAGCCUAUAAUUGAAUGUAAUGCGUUUCUUAAUCCUCUCUGGUGUAAAAAGGAUUAUUAAUUGAGACUGAACUGGACAUCACAUAUCACAUAUACACUGUGACCUGGUACAUGGUUUAACUGCCCCUUACAGUUUACUAGACUAUUAACGGUACAGGUUAAAGUGGGCCUUACCCAGACCAUGUGAUAGACAGUGUAGACGUCACCGUCACAGGCAUACACCCGGAUUGCCCUCAGUGUGAAGCCAAACUUCUUCCCGGAGCUGUGGAUGAUGAUGGGUUGCCGUGGGUUGGUGGUACAGAGGGAGGAGUCUCGGCUUGGAGAGGAGUCUCGUGAGGACAGGUCUGAUGAGAGGGAGUAAGGGGACAGGGGGCUGGCCAGCGGAGACACCCCGAGGAUUUCUGGAAGAAUAAGAGAUGAUCAGCGCCUGAGCAGGUUCUUUUAUUUAAUCAAUGCCCUGGAGUCAGCAUUGAGGUGCUGCUAUAAAGCUCAUGAGCCGGGUUCAUUCUACUCCUGCGGUGGGUGACACUAAUGGGAUUUUCUCUCUCCCAUCGAGGCUUCUUGCUCCUACCCUGCCUGUUUACUCCCCUUGUCAGCAGCUUGUUCUCUGCAAAUAGCUCACAGCCACUCUGUAAAAUGGAACUCACAGCAGGAAUUCAUGUUGGGUCAAUUUCACACAGAUCUGUAGUUUCACUUCAUCUCUUUCAUCUCCCUGUUGCUCUUAUUGUAAUUCUCUAAUCUUGAUUAC
Long non-coding RNA from Pleuronectes platessa (European plaice), 1697 nucleotides. RefSeq lists it as uncharacterized. Lineage: Eukaryota; Metazoa; Chordata; Actinopteri; Pleuronectiformes; Pleuronectidae. The record is from RefSeq and is a predicted model, not a curated record. The transcript has 3 exons.